Molecule: ribosomal RNA, 3171 nt
Filed under: Triticum aestivum (bread wheat)
Lineage: Eukaryota; Viridiplantae; Streptophyta; Magnoliopsida; Poales; Poaceae
Description: partial small subunit ribosomal RNA
Source: RNAcentral
GUGCGAUUGCGCCCUCUCGUUGCGCACCGCGCGGUUGGCUGCGCCAAAGCUGAAAGCCCACAGCUCACUCGAACCCUAGCCGCCACAUCCCGUCAGCAUCACAGGCGCCGGCGCGCCGCACCCCCUAUUCCUCCUUUCUCCUCGUCUGAAUAGCCGCCGGCCGCCGCACCGCUUCUUCCCCUUCCUCCUACCUCCCUUAUCCCUGCCCCCAAUCCACAUCCUCCUCCUCCCUUCCUUCCUUCCAGAUCGGGGAGUAAGAUGGCGGGCGGCAGAGCGUGGGGUCGAUGGCAGCGGCUGGACGAGGUCGUCCACAGGCGAGGAAUGGCCGCCAAGCUUGUUCCUCCGACCGCCGCACUGGAGCCCCGGCGGCUGAGCCUGCAGUGGCACCGGUAGUCCGUCCGUGCUCGUCCUCCUCCUCCUCUCUCUCUCUCCCGUGCAGCCGCCCUCCUCCCUCGUCGAUUGACUCGACCUCAGUCCACCUCUGUGUGCUCUCCUCCUAUUAUGCGGGCACUCGGCGGCAGGGAGCAUGGCGGCGACCGGGGCUGCUGGACAGUAGGUGCUCGCCGAGGUGGUCCAUGCCUGGGAAGACGGCGACAUCUUCCGGCGACAAGGUGAGCUUCGCCUAAUCCUCUCUCUCUCUCUCUCUCUCUAAUCUGUUCUCUGGUAUGAAGAUCCUUUGCAGAUCAAUUAGAAGGCAGAAUUCUUGCUAGGUGGCUCAGGCCAAGCAUCGUUUCACAUUCAGGAAGUGAAGACGGCCAUUCGUCGUGCCAUGAGCUCCAUUCAUAUUACUAUAUGCUUAAAACAUCGUGCUCUCCUUAUCUACAUCAUGUGGUAGUAGUAUUUACUUGCCAUUCAUGCAUCUUGUUCCAUCAUGUCAGUCAUAUCUUACAUAUCACGCUUGACUGGUUUGUUCAAUUCCUCUACUAUGCUUUUCUGUCGUGUUUUUCAAACAUUCUCGGUUACUAUAGAUUAUCAUGAUAUCUUGCUGCAAUGCAUUCAAACCUGCAAAUAGCUUUGUAAACAGAGUUAUGUGCCCAGGCUUUGGCGGAGGUGUGCUCUUGUCUUGUCUUUCAUAAUAUUCGCCUUUAUUGCGUGCACAAUCAGUUGGUGGUACCCAGUGGAGGUUGAAUUGUUAGUACUUAUGCCUCUGAUUUUGUGGGGUAGUUAGUGUAUGCCUGCAUGCCUCAUUGGAAAUAUUACUGCAUGAUACCAUACAGAUAUUUCAGUUUAUAAACUGAUAAGGUAAUUAUGAGUUUAUUAGAGAGUACAGAUUUGCUCAGCUACUAGCCUACAAUGACUUGUAUAUUUGUAAAUAGUGAAGUACUCUAUGCACCUUAAAAAUAAUCUUUAAGUGAAAGAUGCAGUUACUUUACAUUAGUACCUUCGCCAUUUAGGCAGGGUGGAGGCGACGCACAAGGACGCCUCUAGCACGUUCACCGCCAGCCGUUGCCGUUGCUUUCUUCUUUUUUGGCUUAUAUUUCUUAAUACCUAAAGUGAAUGCCUGGUACUCAUUCUCCUAAUGUUUCAAGGUAUUUCUCAUUAUUAGAGCAUUUACAUUGCUUUACAGAGUAUACAUCAAGCACAGUUGAAGUACAUAUCAAAUAGUUGUAUUCCAGAGUUGUUUGAUUCGCAUGAUAAAGAUUCUAAAAAUAGUUCCCAUGCCAUAAUAAGUUAUAAUGUUUUGUUUCUCUUAUAUUUAUAUGUUUACACCACUGCUUUUGUUCCAAUUUUAUUGGAGGCUCAUAUUAGGUCGCUUUGGAGGCUGAAAUCAGGUGGCUGCUCAUGUCUGGCUUGGUGGCUUGGUGCCUAUAUUUUAGAUGUUCCAUUAAUCUUGGCUGCUUUUCUCACCAGUUUUGGGCUUUAACCUUGGAUCUAGAAGGUUGCAGCUUCUUUGUUCUCCUACUCAAGAUUUGCUCACUUUCUAGCUGGUUGCUGCAUCAUUUACUUUUUCCUCUGUUCAAGGAUGUAUCGUACACAUUGUCACCUUUUUCCUCUAUUCAGAUAUCGGUGUUGCCUAAUUAAAAAAUGAACAACAAUACCAGUUGUACCAGUUGAAGUUUUUUCUUUCUGAAUUGAGUAGUUAAGAGUUCAGUCUUCCUAUAGAAUCUCCAGGAGUUUAGUUAGGCAUUCUGAAAAAGAGAAGUCUUGUUGAUCAGACGGCUAAACGCUCAUAUCGCUCCUAAACUUGAUACACUGUUUUCCUUUUGAUAUGUCUUGCCAAGCAGAGCGACCAAUGCAAGGAGGACCAAGAUCUAGGACGGUGAGCCUCGCCUAGCUCUUCCACCUCUUCCACCUAUCAUGGAGGAGGGACGAAGGGGGAGAAGAUUACAGCAUGAUUCAGGAUCAGUUGAGGGUUGAAUGCUUCAAUGGUUCCAGAAAGCUUCAUCCACAAUCCUGACAAAUAUUUCCUUUGAUGUCACAAAGCAUACCAAGAAUUUGAAGUGAGUACGUUUUAUCCCAGCUAACCUGUCAGGCUGUCACCUUUUAGCGAUGUCAUGAAAAAUGAACAUAUGGCAGUCAUUUAUUAUUAAUCUUGUGGUGACAUAUGCAUGACUAUUAGUAGAAUACUUUGUAGUAAGUUGUGUGUAAAUGUUGUGUAGAGAAGGCGAUAGGGAGACUGACGGGGCAUAGAGUGCUUCCGUGUGUUGGGGUAUUUAGCUGAUUGCUCAUUUGGGAGCACUCAAUAGCAUGUUGCAUCUUUAAUUUUAUGAAAUAAAUGCCUUCCUUUGUUUGCUCAUUUUCUUCUGAUAUAAAGGUUUAGAUAUUAGGUAUUUGGUACUCAAGACCAUUUAACUUUCUUUUUUCAUAUAUGAGUAUAGCUGGAUUAUUCAUGUUUCUUACAAUCAAGAAUUUUCCCAUUCAGGUAGAUUGUGAAUUAUUCCUGACAUUUCAGCAAAAUAUCCAUUAUUUCUAUCUGGAAGAUUCUGGGUUGAACUCUCGGAGACUCUUUACGCCGAGACUCUUUACCCAAUAUCACCUCUCCAUGCAGCUCUUCUUUUGAUUCUGUCCAAUUCCUGGCGAUCGGCACGGACCAGAAUACCAUCGCGCAUGCCCUUGGUGUGUGUGCCAGAAUACCAUCGCGCAUGCCCUUAACAUAUGUCUUACUCAAACCUAACACUACUACCAUAUUCAAAUAUUAAUGUACAUUUAUUUGUAAACAACAAGCCUCCA